GAUGAUAGGUUAUUAAUUAUAUUAUAAAUGGUUAUGUUCUGGUCAAUGAAAUAAUACCCUUAGGAGAAUUCUGCUUUGCAUUUUUCUAUGCAUUACUAACAUCACUAAACCAGACAUUUGUUUUAUAAGUUAACCAAAUAUUCGCAGAGAUUCAGCGGUUUUUGUCUGACGCGUUUGCCAUUCAUGCCAGUCAGUGAAAAAAAAGUAACUGUGGCCCUGUUUGCAGGUAUUAAGAUUCGUUUUCAUCAAUCUGAUGCAACUUUUAUUAUUUACAGGACGUAAAAAUGCAAUUAAAAGUUUCAAAUCAAU
Molecule: non-coding RNA, 309 nt
Organism: Danio rerio (zebrafish)
Lineage: Eukaryota; Metazoa; Chordata; Actinopteri; Cypriniformes; Danionidae
Source: Ensembl